AGUUUCUGCACAUUUGUCAUUUGGCCACCCUCCAGGACCUCAGUAAGGUCAAGAGGAAUGUGGUCCUCACUCAACCGAUCAGAAGAGAUUACCCCACAACACAGAUCACAUGACUGUUGUAUUCGACCAAUCAGCAGAGACCUGGCAUGCAUCCAACUUCCUGUUUUCUCUGAAGUCUGAAAAAGACGCCCAUGUGGCUCGACUCACCGUACAUUUCUGUACAGAACGUCAAAACCAACAGUGGUAAGUUGAUGAAACUCGCAUGUUUUAUUGUUGGGUAGUUGUACUCAGUGAUGACACGUAUGUUGUUUGUGGAGGACUUCAUGAAUUUAGUGAAAUCAUGACGUGACAUCAUUAUGUUGUCCAUUUUUGGACAUCUGACCAAUGCAACUAACAUUUAAUACUUUGAGCAUUUUCUUAAUAAAUAAAGCAGAACAACUCAGGACAUUAUGUUUUAAUGUUGUCAAAGGUUUUAUAACUACAGUGAAAUAUUUUUCUAGAAAUAUUGAAGCUGUAAAUAGUGAAUAUGAGGGAUUUUUGUCCGUUUGUGACCUUUUAACAUUUGUUAUAUUGUGUGUAAUUUUUAGGUCAUGUCUGCCCCGAUGUUUUGUGCCAAGAGGAGAGAAAGUGUUGUCGUGCUAGCCCACCCUGCCAUCAGUGAUGAAGACGAGGAGGACGAUGAUGAUUUGUCCCGUCUCACUAAAUGAGGAUGUGCAUUUUCAUCUGUCCUUCUUUCAUGCCCCUGUACAUGCCAAACACCAGACCUGCGAGCUCUGCAUGAGGUCUGCAGAGUCACUAAGGUCCACCUUUGCAUGAACAGUCACAGCUUUAUUAGGUACCACGACAAACCGGCCUCAUGGUGUCUGAAGUGAUUCUGCUGACAGGUGUCUGUAUCAGCACUUCUAUCGUGUUCCUUUCACCUUAUGUGUGUUUUUCUUGUAUUUUUAAUUUUUACAAUUCUUGGAUUUUUUUUUACCACUUCAUUAACUUUCAUUUUCUACAUGACAUUAAACAAUUUUUCAACAGAAUUGAAGUUUUGUUAUGACCUGCAGUAACACUCUAAGGUUGGUUUUUAAAGUAUUUCAGUGACUUCCCUAUAAACGGUAAAUGGAAAAAAAGCUGAACUGAAGCCACAAAGGAGUGCAGACGAAAACGGGUGUAAGCUCGCCUGACCCAAAUUACAAACACAUUCACUUGUAACACGCCUUCUUUGGUCGGCGUAGAACUGGUUUUCU
This is a non-coding RNA of Xyrichtys novacula (pearly razorfish), 1235 nucleotides long. The record is from the annotation of a GenBank genome assembly. NCBI's taxonomy places the organism in Eukaryota, Metazoa, Chordata, Actinopteri, Labriformes, Labridae.